Small nucleolar RNA from Nannospalax galili (Upper Galilee mountains blind mole rat), 122 nucleotides. NCBI's taxonomy places the organism in Eukaryota, Metazoa, Chordata, Mammalia, Rodentia, Spalacidae. The record is from Ensembl.
AUGUAUUUUUAAAAAUUUCUUUUAAGGCGCCUCCAAGAUAUGAGUGAAUGCUAGAGAGACCGUGGGAAGUCCAAAGGGCCGCGCCUCGCGUGGCUCAGCUUUAUUUCAUACCUGUGAUAUCU